AUACGGAGGGGGUUAGCGUUGUUCGGAAUUACUGGGCGUAAAGCGUACGUAGGCGGACUGGAAAGUUGGGGGUGAAAUCCCGGGGCUCAACCCCGGAACUGCCUCCAAAACUUCCAAUCUAGAGAUCGAGAGAGGUGAGUGGAAUUCCAAGUGUAGAGGUGAAAUUCGUAGAUAUUUGGAGGAACACCAGUGGCGAAGGCGGCUCACUGGUUCGAUACUGACGCUGAGGUACGAAAGCGUGGGGAGCAAACAGGAUUAGAAACCCUAGUAGUCC
RNAcentral lists this ribosomal RNA (274 nucleotides) under uncultured bacterium. RNAcentral describes it as "partial 16S ribosomal RNA". It matches the Rfam family "Bacterial small subunit ribosomal RNA", at positions 523 to 796 of the family's 1533-position model. The record is from RNAcentral.